CUCCGUACAUGGAUCGGUCUGCUACAGAGCCCGAGCUAUGAGCAUCUGAGAGCGGAGUGGAAACAGGAAGAGGAGGAAGUGAGGUGGAAGAAAGAAGACAGAGGAGAGAGGAACGGGCCAGACAAGGUGGCGAGGAGUGCAAGGGAGGAAUAGGGGAGCCAAGAGGGGCGUGUGGACCAAAGAGAGCGAAGACAAGAAAAACAGAGAGCUCGCAGAGGAUGACCGUGUCUAUUUAAAGGGACUGCACGGGUCUGCUGUCUAGCUAUUCCUGACGGACAGCGUCAUCGUAUUGGGUCCAGAUUCGGUCUCCUCCUUUCUCAGUGCUCAAGGUGUGAAGUGGAGGGCCUACCAAACACAGACCAAGACUGGCUGCAUGUAUCACCCCGCAGAGCUGUACUCUGGCCGCAACACAUGGGACUCCUAUCCAGCUGGAGGACCUAACAGAGGACAAUGGGCUCCGGAAAACAGUCGCCCCUGGAGCCACACAGAAAGGUCAGCAGCGUUGUUCACAACACUC
Molecule: long non-coding RNA, 517 nt
Organism: Gymnodraco acuticeps
Lineage: Eukaryota; Metazoa; Chordata; Actinopteri; Perciformes; Bathydraconidae
Exons: 4
Source: RefSeq, a predicted model, not a curated record